GAUGACUUGUCUUUGUCCCCUUUUUCUUUCCAAAUUCUAGGAUCAAAUGCUUUAUCGUAAAAAUUAAAAAAAUAAAGCCAGGGAUUACGUUAAUUACAUGGAAACCACAGUUUCACAAUAUUAGUCAAUGGCCUAACGGCUGAACUGGCAACUUGGAGAAGUGGCAAGUCCUAUUUUGAUCGUAUCUUUGAAUAUGAUCUAUAGGAUUGUAUUAAAAUUGAAUAAAGCUUUGUUUAUAUAUUGAUAAUGACAGUAUAUAUAUCGUGUCUUGACUAAUUGCGUGCCAGCAGUCGCGGUAAUACGUAAGAGACUAGUGUUAUUCAUCUUAAUUAGGUUUAAAGGGUACCUAGACGGUCAAUAUAACUUCUAGAAUGUUAGUACUUGACUAGAGUUUUAUGUAAGAGGGCAGUACUUGAGGAGGAGAGAUGAAAUUCUAUGAUACCAAAGGGACUCGGUAAAGGCGAAGGCAGCCCUCUAUGCGAAAACUGACGUUAAAGGACGAAGGCACAGAGCACAAACAGGAUUAGAUACCCAAGUAGUCUUUGCAGUAAAUGAUGAAUGCCAUAGGUUAGAUUAAGAUUUAAUAUUUUAAUUUAAAAUUAAAUAUUAAACAUUAUUUGGUCUAUAAAUGAAAGUGUAAGCAUUUCACCUCAAGAGUAAUGUGGCAACGCAGGAACUGAAAUCACUAGACCGUUUCUGACACCAGUAGUGAAGUAUGUUGUUUAAUUCGAUGAUCCACGAAAAACCUUACCACAAUUUGUAUAAUUAUAUUACAGGAGUUGCACGGCUGUUUUCAGUUAAUGUU
Molecule: ribosomal RNA, 805 nt
Filed under: Trichoderma americanum
Lineage: Eukaryota; Fungi; Ascomycota; Sordariomycetes; Hypocreales; Hypocreaceae
Description: SSU rRNA
Rfam family: Bacterial small subunit ribosomal RNA
Source: RNAcentral